RNAcentral lists this ribosomal RNA (461 nucleotides) under uncultured Streptococcus sp. Its description in RNAcentral is "bacterial SSU rRNA". It matches the Rfam family "Bacterial small subunit ribosomal RNA", at positions 923 to 1382 of the family's 1533-position model. Lineage: Bacteria; Bacillati; Bacillota; Bacilli; Lactobacillales; Streptococcaceae. The record is from RNAcentral.
GCACAAGCGGUGGAGCGAUGUGGUUUAAUUCGACGCAACGCGAAGAACUUACCAGGGCUUGACAUCCCCUGACCGCGUGUGAAAGUACGUUUUCACCCUCGGGUGGACAGGGAGACAGGUGGUGCAUGGUUGUCGUCAGCUCGUGUCGUGAGAUGUUGGGUUAAGUCCCGCAACGAGCGCAACCCCUAUUGUUAGUUGCCAUCAUUCAGUUGGGCACUCUAGCGAGACUGCCGGUAAUAAACCGGAGGAAGGUGGGGAUGACGUCAAAUCAUCAUGCCCCUUAUGACCUGGGCUACACACGUGCUACAAUGGUUGGUACAACGAGUUGCGAGUCGGUGACGGCGAGCUAAUCUCUUAAAGCCAAUCUCAGUUCGGAUUGUAGGCUGCAACUCGCCUACAUGAAGUCGGAAUCGCUAGUAAUCGCGGAUCAGCACGCCGCGGUGAAUACGUUCCCGGGCCUU